Molecule: non-coding RNA, 344 nt
Organism: Coturnix japonica (Japanese quail)
Lineage: Eukaryota; Metazoa; Chordata; Aves; Galliformes; Phasianidae
Source: RefSeq, a predicted model, not a curated record
GUGAAGUGCGGCCACCCCAUGAAAAAGACUUCGAUCCGUGGACAAGGUCCUAUCAGAGGUGGACUUUGAGGAGCGCUUUGCGGAGCUGCCCGAGUUCCGGCCCGAGGAGGUGCUGCCCUCCCCCACCCUGCAGGCACUGGCCACAUCCCCAAGGGCCAUAUUGGGGUCCUAUAGGAAGAAGAGGAAGAACUCCACUGACCUGGAUUCCUCUGGAAGACACGCCUCGUCCCCAAACGCAAAUUGCGCCGUCGCUCGAGCUGCCAGCUCAGAGCCAGCACCCCAAAAAGCGGCCACAAGUGUGAGGGGACGUCUGUUCACCUUCGACAGGGCCGGUACGGGACCCA